RNAcentral lists this unclassified non-coding RNA (351 nucleotides) under soil metagenome. Its description in RNAcentral is "partial contains 5.8S ribosomal RNA, internal transcribed spacer 2, and large subunit ribosomal RNA". The stretch from base 1 to 120 matches the Rfam family "5.8S ribosomal RNA", at positions 35 to 154 of the family's 154-position model. The record is from RNAcentral.
GAUGAAGAACGCAGCGAAAUGCGAUAAGUAAUGUGAAUUGCAGAAUUCAGUGAAUCAUCGAAUCUUUGAACGCACAUUGCGCCCGCCAGUAUUCUGGCGGGCAUGCCUGUCUGAGCGUCAUUUCAACCCUCAGCCCCCGCUCGCGGGGCGCUGGCGUUGGGGAUCGGCCGUCCUCGCGGCGGCCGGCCCCGAAACACAGUGGCGGUCUCUCGCGGACUCCCCUGCGUAGUAGCACUACCUCGCAUAAGGGACGAGCGGGCUGACCACGCCGUAAAACCCCCCACUUCUCCAGGUUGACCUCAGAUCAGGUAGGAAUACCCGCUGAACUUAAGCAUAUCAAUAAGCGGAGGA